This 492-nucleotide ribosomal RNA is filed under the name uncultured bacterium. Its description in RNAcentral is "partial 16S ribosomal RNA". It matches the Rfam family "Bacterial small subunit ribosomal RNA", at positions 28 to 507 of the family's 1533-position model. The record is from RNAcentral.
GAUGAACGCUAGCUACAGGCUUAACACAUGCAAGUCGAGGGGAAACGACAUUGAAAGCUUGCUUUUGAUGGGCGUCGACCGGCGCACGGGUGAGUAACGCGUAUCCAACCUGCCCAUCACUUGGGGAUAACCUUGCGAAAGUAAGACUAAUACCCAAUGAUAUCUCUAGAAGACAUCUGAAAGAGAUUAAAGAUUUAUCGGUGAUGGAUGGGGAUGCGUCUGAUUAGCUUGUUGGCGGGGUAACGGCCCACCAAGGCAACGAUCAGUAGGGGUUCUGAGAGGAAGGUCCCCCACAUUGGAACUGAGACACGGUCCAAACUCCUACGGGAGGGAGCAGUGAGGAAUAUUGGUCAAUGGGCGAGAGCCUGAACCAGCCAAGUAGCGUGCAGGAAGACGGCCCUAUGGGUUGUAAACUGCUUUUAUAAGGGAAUAAAGUGAGAGUCGUGACUCUUUUUGUAUGUACCUGAUGAAUAAGGACCGGCUAAUUCCGUG